RNAcentral lists this ribosomal RNA (459 nucleotides) under uncultured bacterium. RNAcentral's name for it is "partial 16S ribosomal RNA". It matches the Rfam family "Bacterial small subunit ribosomal RNA", at positions 338 to 795 of the family's 1533-position model. The record is from RNAcentral.
CCUACGGGUGGCAGCAGUGAGGAAUAUUGGUCAAUGGCCGGAAGGCUGAACCAGCCAAGCCGCGUGAAGGACGAAAGUGCCAAGCAUUGUAAACUUCUUUUGUCAAGGGACAAAAUCCGGCUCGAGAGCCUGACCGAGUGUACUUGAAGAAAAAGCAUCGGCUAACUCCGUGCCAGCAGCCGCGGUAAUACGGAGGAUGCGAGCGUUAUCCGGAUUUAUUGGGUUUAAAGGGUGCGUAGGCGGACUGUUAAGUCAGCGGUAAAAGCCCGGGGCUCAACCCCGGCGAGCCGUUGAAACUGGCGGUCUUGAGAUGGCGAGAGGUAGGCGGAAUGCGCAGUGUAGCGGUGAAAUGCUUAGAUAUUGCGCAGAACUCCGAUUGCGAAGGCAGUAUACCGGAGGCGAUCUGACGCUGAGGCACGAAAGCGUGGGUAUCGAACAGGAUUAGAUACCCCUGUAGUC